AUUGAACGCUGGCGGCAGGCCUAACACAUGCAAGUCGAGCGGAUGAAGGGAGCUUGCUCCUGGAUUCAGCGGCGGGCGGGUGAGUAAUGCCUAGGAAUCUGCCUGGUAGUGGGGGAUAACGUCCGGAAACGGGCGCUAAUACCGCAUACGUCCUGAGGGAGCAAGUGGGGGAUCUUCGGACCUCACGCUAUCAGAUGAGCCUAGGUCUGAUUAGCUAGUUGGUGGGGUAAAGGCCUACCAAGGCGACGAUCCGUAACUGGUCUGAGAGGAUGAUCAGUCACACUGGAACUGAGACACGGUCCAGACUCCUACGGGAGGCAGCAGUGGGGAAUAUUGGACGAUGGGCGAAAGCCUGAUCCAGCCAUGCCGCGUGUGUGAAGAAGGUCUUCGGAUUGUAAAGCACUUUAAGUUGGGAGGAAGGGCAGUAAGUUAAUACCUUGCUGUUUUGACGGUACCAACAGAAUAAGCACCGGCUAACUUCGUG
RNAcentral lists this ribosomal RNA (484 nucleotides) under uncultured bacterium. RNAcentral describes it as "partial 16S ribosomal RNA". It matches the Rfam family "Bacterial small subunit ribosomal RNA", at positions 30 to 507 of the family's 1533-position model. The record is from RNAcentral.